AAGACUUUAGAUAUGAUCCAGAGUACCACGGGACACGUGAAACCCUGUGGGAAGCAGGAGGGACCACCCUCCAAGGCUAAAUACUACCUAGUGACCGAUAGCGUAUAGUACCGUGAGGGAAAGGUGAAAAGAACCCCGGGAGGGGAGUGAAAUAGAACCUGAAACCCUGCACUUACAAGCUGUGGAAGCACAUUUCUUGUGUGACCGCGUACUUUUUGUAGAACGGGCCAACGAGUUACGUUAAGUAGCAAGGUUAAGCACUUAAGGUGCGGAGCCGUAGCGAAAGCGAGUUUUAACUGAGCGUUCAGUUACUUGACGUAGACCCGAAACCGGGCGACCUACCCAUGAGCAGGAUGAAGCGAAAGUAAAAUUUCGUGGAGGUCCGAACCCACGAGCGUUGAAAAGCUCGGGGAUGACUUGUGGGUAGCGGUGAAAUUCCAAUCGAGCCCGGAGAUAGCUGGUUCUCCCCGAAAUAGCUUUAGGGCUAGCCUCAAGGUGAGAGAUACGGAGGUAGAGCACUGAAUGUCCUAGGGG
RNAcentral lists this ribosomal RNA (534 nucleotides) under Clostridioides difficile. RNAcentral's name for it is "bacterial LSU rRNA". It matches the Rfam family "Bacterial large subunit ribosomal RNA", at positions 390 to 925 of the family's 2925-position model. The record is from RNAcentral. Lineage: Bacteria; Bacillati; Bacillota; Clostridia; Peptostreptococcales; Peptostreptococcaceae.